CCAGACUCCUCGGGAGGCAGCAGUGAGGAAUAUUGGUCAAUGGGCGGAAGCCUGAACCAGCCAAGUCGCGUGAGGGAAGAAGGCCCUGCGGGUCGCAGACCUCUUUAGGCGGGGAGCAAUGCCGGGCACGCGUGCCCGGAGGGAGAGUACCCGCAGAAUAAGCAUCGGCUAACUCCGUGCCAGCAGCCGCGGUAAUACGGAGGAUGCGAGCGUUAUCCGGAUUUAUUGGGUUUAAAGGGUGCGUAGGCGGAAUGCCAAGUCAGGGGUAAAAUCGCGGGGCUCAACCUCGCUCCGCCGUUGAAACUGGCGUUCUUGAGUGGGCGAGAAGUAUGCGGAAUGCGUGGUGUAGCGGUGAAAUGCAUAGAUAUCACGCAGAACUCCGAUUGCGAAGGCAGCAUACCGGCGCCCAACUGACGCUGAAGCACAAAAGCGUGGGUAUCGAACAGGAUUAGAUACCCCUGUAU
RNAcentral lists this ribosomal RNA (464 nucleotides) under uncultured bacterium. RNAcentral describes it as "bacterial SSU rRNA". It matches the Rfam family "Bacterial small subunit ribosomal RNA", at positions 331 to 793 of the family's 1533-position model. The record is from RNAcentral.